CAUAUGUAGCACUCAAGUCUAAAGUUGUUCCAUCACAGAAAGCCAGAGACAAACCACACGAACCAUGGGUGUACCUCGAGAAGAAAAAUGGUACUGUGUAUUGUGCACACUGUACAUGUAUGGCAGGGCUAGGUGAAGUAUGUAGCCAUAUAGCAGCACUUCUUUUUAAAGUAGAAAUGGCAGUAAAAAUGGGGUUGACACAGAACAGUUCAACGAGUCAAGCUUGCCAGUGGAACAGUACAUUUCGAAAGGAAGUUACACCGGCAACAGUGACAGAAAUAUAUGGUCAAAUUAAGGGCAAGCGAACCAAAGAGAUUGCUUCUUUUCAAGCUACUGGGACUACUCCUUUACCACCUUUAGAGGUCCUGGAAGAGCUUUAUUCAAUUGUACCAAAUGCAUCCUUUUUUACAUCCGUUUCCAUUCCAAAUCAGCUUUAUGCCAGUACACCAGUCAAGGUUGUAGAAAAGUACCCUAAGUUAUUGGCUAGCAUUACAAAUGAUCUCAGUGAUUCAACAGAUAUUAAAUACGAUGAGAUAUAUGAUAAUUAUAGUGUUUCCGACUAUCAAGCAAACAAUUUAGAAUCGGCAACACGAAAUCAAUCAAUUAGUCCCCUGUGGUAUCAGCAUAGGAUGGGCCUUGUAACAGCUUCGAGGGCCCAUGAUAUUCAAACUAGGAAAGAA
Molecule: long non-coding RNA, 680 nt
Organism: Patella vulgata (common limpet)
Lineage: Eukaryota; Metazoa; Mollusca; Gastropoda; Patellidae
Exons: 3
Source: RefSeq, a predicted model, not a curated record